This 484-nucleotide ribosomal RNA is filed under the name uncultured bacterium. Its description in RNAcentral is "partial 16S ribosomal RNA". It matches the Rfam family "Bacterial small subunit ribosomal RNA", at positions 30 to 507 of the family's 1533-position model. The record is from RNAcentral.
AGUGAACGCUGGCGGCAGGCCUAACACAUGCAAGUCGAGCGGCAGCGGGUCCUUCGGGCUGCCGGCGAGCGGCGGACGGGUGAGGAAUGCAUCGGAAUCUGCCCUGUCGUGGGGGAUAACCUAGGGAAACUUAGGCUAAUACCGCAUACGACCCACGGGUGAAAGCGGGGGAUCGCAAGACCUCGCGCGAUAGGAUGAGCCGAUGUCCGAUUAGCUAGUUGGCGGGGUAAAGGCCCACCAAGGCGACGAUCGGUAGCUGGUCUGAGAGGAUGAUCAGCCACACUGGGACUGAGACACGGCCCAGACUCCUACGGGAGGCAGCAGUGGGGAAUAUUGGACAAUGGGCGCAAGCCUGAUCCAGCCAUGCCGCGUGGGUGAAGAAGGCCUUCGGGUUGUAAAGCCCUUUUGUCCGGGAAGAAAUCGUCUGGGCUAAUACCCCGGGCGGAUGACGGUACCGGAAGAAUAAGCCCCGGCUAACUUCGUG